AUCUUCAGCUGCCAGAAUCGUGCGGGAUUCACAGAUUUCUGUGAGGAUGACAGAAACCAGCUGCAGGUGGUACAGGUGACCUGCAGGGACAAACAGGCUAUCAGGUAACAAUCGAGCGUCUGACUGGAGGUUUUAUCCCCUGAUAAACGGUGACGUUCGUGUUGCGUUUCCAGGAACACAACCUGCGAUCUGCUGCUGCAGCUCAGCCAUGCUCGGCCAGCGUGUGAGCUGCGUCAAGCUGCGGUCUCGGCGCUGCACAACAGCGGAGAGAGACAGAUCCGAGUCCGGAUCCAAGGAGAGGUGGAGAGAGUCGGCCGAGACCUUUGUAAGCCCGCAGCGCCAUCCAGUGGCCGCUUUGUGCGCUGCACAUCCGGGUCCUCCCUGGAUGAGCUGUGUCAGGCCAAAAAGGCGCAUGAACUCACAUGGUAAACCGCUAUUUUCCCGCAGUUAUUUCAUUUUCCUGUUUAAUUGCUUCUCUUCCUCCACAGCUCUGUCAUAGAACCCGACUCCGCUCCGGUUCCUCAGAACCGCGGGAAGCCCUGCAGUGGUGAGUUCCAUCCUCAGAGGUGGUUUUGCUGAGCACAUGGUUUUCUGAUCUAACUUGUCUGCACUCCAGCAGGAACUCCUCGUUUUUGUGACUGCAGCACUUUUUGCAAUUCUACACGUGAGUGGAGACAAGCUGCUGUUUUUUAUCGUUAAGAGAUUGAUCGACGUCAGUAAAAGGCGCCUUAAACUGAACCCCGGCGGAUGUUUUUCUGCUGUUUGCUCAUUUUCAGGCCAGUUCUUCGCUGUAAAAAUCGACGUCAACCGUGCGUCUGUCGAUACCGCCUUCCUGCAAAAUUUGGUCGGUUAAAGUUUAUUGUUUAAGGUGUUUUUGUGUUUGCGGCAGCUGAC
RNAcentral lists this long non-coding RNA (894 nucleotides) under Takifugu rubripes (torafugu). Its description in RNAcentral is "lncRNA (ENSTRUG00000033031.1)". Lineage: Eukaryota; Metazoa; Chordata; Actinopteri; Tetraodontiformes; Tetraodontidae. The record is from RNAcentral.